CAGAGCGAGACUCCGUCUCAAAAUAAACAAAAAAACCUCAAUUACUUUUGCACCAACCUGAUACUUCUGUAGGUUUCAACUCCUGGCAUGAGGGGGUUGGUCAGCACAGUCACAUCCCUCGGGCUUUUCCAGAGUCUUCCAUGGCAAUAGCUCCAUACUUGCAAACUCAUCACCACCUGCUGAAGGCCAAGGAACAAUGUGGUGAGUAAAGGCAGCUCACGCUCUAUGCUGAGGGUGGGUAUAAAGAGUGGACACUCGUGACCAGGAGGGUUAUAUUUGAGAGUAAACCGUCAGGCAGAAGGCAGAUGUGAAUAAUCUCAGGUCACUGAGUUCAACGCAGUUGGGAGAGGCCCAUUUCUUGGCCACAUAUUCAUUUGUCACUUCCCACUGACUGCCUGCCAUGCGUCAGACAUUUGUUAAGAAGACAGGGGCGGUCCUGCCCUCAGCUUGCUCACAGUCCAAGACAGCUCCAGGCUAGAGCUGGAAAAUGCCUGUGCUUCUGUGUGCAAGAAUGAUCUGAGGAAAGUUUUUGGCCUUAUGGGGUGUGCCCCCCAACCCCCUCCAAAGUUGUUCACAUCUUAAUUCCUAGAACCUCUGAUUACGUUACUUGUCAUGGCAAAAGGAGUUUUGCAGAUGGAUUAAGUUAAGGACCUUGAGAUGGGUUGUUCAUGCUGGAUUAUCUGAGAGGACCCCGUGAAUCACAAGAGUUCUGAAAAGUGGAAAAGGAGGCAGAAGACAGUGGGAGGAAGAUGGGACUAUGGACAAAGAGUGAUGCCUGCAAGGUUCAACCUGCUGUAACUGCCUCUGGAGAUAGAGGGAGGGGGCCAAGAGGAAGGAAUGCAGGUGGCCUCUAGGAGCUGGAAAGUCAAGGAAAUGGAUUCUCUACUAGAGCCUCCAGCAAGGAACGCCCCCCUGCUGACCCCUUGAUUCUAGCCCAACAGGAACCUUGUCAGACUUCUAACCUACAGAAUUGAGAGAUAAUACAUUUGUGUUGGUUUAAGUCACUAAAUUCGUGAAUUUGUUGUAAUUGCCCCAGGAAACUAGUAAAUGAAGCUCUGGACCUGUGGUCAGACCAAGACUAGCCAUUUGUCUCCAACUCCAAGAAGUGUCCUGCUGUCUCUGUACCUGAGGUCCUGGGUUGGGAUGUGGGGACUGACUUCUUUGAGAGAUUGGCUGCACUGAAUCUCAGAAGGUCCUAGGCUGGAUGUAGCAGGAAGUUCAGAUUCAGGGGCAGGAGUGCUCAUAGGCACUUGCAGGGAUGCUCUCAGGAUGCCACAGAAUCCCAAGUGUCAAUAUGGCGGGCGGAUGAAGAGAUACAGCCUUGGCAAAGCUUGCCAGGUGCGACUAAGUAACAACUCAGGCAGAAGAGGAGCCUCUUGUUUGGACUUGGCCUAAAUAUUGUAUCUUUCUUGGGUUUUGGAUAUCCCUUGCUGUCAUAGAGACAACACAGGAUUCUCUUCCAGCCAGAUCACUUACAGAUUGUGCAACAUUGGGCAAAUUACUUAACUUCUCCAAACCCUAGUUUCCUCGUUUGUAAAUAUGCACUUUGCUAUGUUAUUAUGAGGAAGGUUGUUACAAAGUCUAAAUAAAGCUGUGUAAAGCACCUGGCACAUAAUGGGACAAAGACUCUUUCUGAAGAAGGAUGGUUGUAGGAUUCUCUCCAGCUUAGUGGAUGGUUGUAGAACCAAGUCCACUGCUGGGUGCUAGGAAAGCAAUCUGAUUGUGCUAAUCCAGGCGAAUCCACCUUGGGAUGUUUGUGCAUUCAUCAGGACGAAUUUAAAUUUGGUAAAGCAUCAAAUGUGAAUGAGAUGGUGUUCAUGGUCAUUUCCUGUAACUUUCAAAAGAGUGAAAACAGAAAUCAAUUCUGAUUCUGCUAUUGACUAGCUGUGUGAUCUCAGGUAGGUCACUUACACUCUCUGGACCUCAGCUUCCUCAUAUAAAGUGCAAAGUUUGCAAUACAUGAUCUGUAAGGUAUUGUGUAGCAUUCUCAUUCUGUACCCACAGAAGCAUUUGCAACACUCAAAGGCUGUCCUUCCUGUCCUCUAGGUGUUUAUAAUCCAAGUCUCUUGGUCUGCCAAUCCUUUUCAAAUCAGAUUGGCCUUUCCUCUUUCUCCUACUGUUACUUGAUCAGUUUCUAGGCUCAUUUUUAUUGUAAAAAAAUAAAAUCGAAUUCCUAAGGCUCUGGAGUUUCAAAUAACUCUUGGUAAAUUAGAGCCCAAUAAAUAUUUCAUAGUUAAACCCAAAAUAGCAACCUGGCUCCUCCCUAGUAUUAAAGAGAUUGAAAAAGUCUCCACGGUGGGAAGAGAAUAUCCCAGCAAUUGAAGACAUCUGUGGAUAUGGCAGUUUUACCCUCUUGGCUAUAUCAAAGAAACAGACUCCUAAAGUGUAUUCAAGGGUACCCUGCCAAUAUCAGCACUUCGUCCAGAUAAAUUGCAAGGCCUGGAGUCGGAAGUAAAGUUUGCAUUUUGAAAAGGAGAGGCUGUACGUUCCCGGUCCUAUGUGUAAAUAAGCACUUGAAUAAAUCAGGACUCAGUAAUAAGCAGUGGCUAGGGUUUAAUAACUGUCUCUGACUUGAAUCCAAGUGUCAGGACUGGAAAAAGUUGGUUGAAACUGGUCCCUUCUGUGAAAGAUAAAAUGGGGGAAAUAGCAAUGUCCUUCUGAGAAGUUAAAAGCCUUCUUGUUUACAACUGGCCAGUGGAGACAUUAAUAAAGGCAGAGCUCCAAAAUACCAACACAUUACUAAUCUUGCCCACAGAAGUUUAUUCUUUUAUUGUAGAUUUGUUAAUGGUUGGUUAGCUCUGGCACUUGAAUAGUGGUCAAAGGUGGACAGAGAAGUACUGAGGCAUGAAGCUAGAAGGAGAGGAGACUUUGAAAGGUACUGGAUUGGGCCUGUUCCCACUGGCCUUUGCCCAUCCAGAACCCAUUCUCCUGCCCAUCAAAUUGUUUUGGGCAGGCUUCUCCCAGUCUGACCCAUUCUGGAGAACUCUAAGGGAAAGCUGGCACUUGGAAACCCCAGUUUUAUGAAUGUCUCGGUUACAGAUUUCUGGUCUUAAUUACCGGGUUGGAGAAAUGAUGUGUGUUUUCUAAGAUUAGCUUUUACACCAGCUACUGUAACUGGCUAGGCUUGAGCUCUUGCAGAAGUAACCUGGCAGCUGCAGAGAAAUGGCUUUCUGUGAGGGGGCAAGGAGCCAUCUGAGUGUUUGGGGAAGCCAUUUACAGAAACAUUUUUUUCCUUGUGUGGUUUAUGUGUACUGGCUAAGGAUUUUGACUUGGAAAAGAAAAAAGGAAAUGAAAGCCCAGAGACGAGAUGAUUUUUAAGAGUUGAACUGAGCUGCAAGCAUGUGGAUCAUGUUAUGGGUUCUUCUGGAGUCUUCUGAACCUGCCGGGCAUUUCUGACUGGAUGAAAAUUAACAAAAGUCCAUGUUCAACCUGAUGAAAAUUAGCAGCAGUUCAUCUUAAUUUAAUUGCCACAGCAUGCAGCUAUGAGAGUACGUAUAUUUUCAUUCAUGUAUUUGAAAUAUUUAUGGAUUGUCUAUUAUAUGACUAGUACUAGGGGUUCAAUAAAUUUACCCAUAUAAUGUGUUUGUGUUAAAUAUUUAUUAUUAAUAUGGGUAAAUGUAAUAUGUUUAUAUAGGUAAAUGUAAUCUAUUUGGUAUGUAGAUACACAAAUUUAGAAUAUAUAACAGAUUUGUUUCUGUAUAGACAUAUAUUUUGGAGGCAUUCUGUUGUCUGGUUUCUUUAUAUUCCCAUAUGUGCUCAAUUUCCAUAUUCCCUUUCCUGAUUCAUUGUUUUCUUCUAGUAUUAAAGUAGAAUAAAGGCAACCAUGUAUUGUGGAGCAGGGUGUACACAGCGCAAUUUUCAAGGACUCAUUUCUACCUCUGCAGCCACGCACAGCAGCCUUGCAGUUCAAAUCACGAAGCUACCACUCAUCUGAUGACAUCUUGCUGUCCUAAUCUGAAAGGGUAGCUUUAGGCAAAAUGAACCAUCUUUUGAGGGCUGAACUUGCAAAUAUGUGUGUGUGUGUGUGUGUGUGUGUGUGUGUGUGUGUAUACACAUAUAUGUGUGUGUAUAUAUAUACCAAUUGGAUCAAAAAUAUGAAUCAAACUAAUUGGUAAUUUUUUCUUCUAGAAUUAGGCAAAAUGACAAGACUGAAUCCUCAGGAAAGAUACUUAAUUCUCCUUAUUGGUGUUGCCUCUGAGGACAUGCUGUGAUGUGAUGGUGUAAGAAUAGCGAUGUUAUGUUGAAAUUCUUUCAGUUCUCACUGAUAUGAAAAUAGUUCUAAAUGUAUAACAAGUUUUGAACUCUAGUAGAUUGAAAUAUAUCAAGACCACAGGGUAAUUAACUUCUCUAUAGUUUGGAAAAUUAAUUGGAGAAGACACUAAGAAUUUUGCAGAUAAUCUCUCUUAAAGUAAUAUUGUAAAUAUUUAAGUAUGGUUAGCAUUCUUAAGUAUGGUUAGCCAUACUUAAGUGUGGUUAACAUAACAGUAAUACAUAUAUUUAUAUAUCAUCCUAUCUCCAAGGAGCUCUUAGUAAUUUACAAAUUGCUUUUAAAUAUGGUUAUAGCUCGCAGAUUCUCUAGAAAGCAAGCAGGAACAAGUUCUAUGAAUACUACUUAAUUCAAGGAGUUUGAGAUUCUUUGAGUGGCAAAUCCAGACUCAUCCAGUGUGUCAGCAUCUGAGUUAGACACUCUUGGCACCCAUGUCCUUCCUGUUUUGUGGUUUUCAGUGGGAGCCUAGACUCCUAUUUGAUCAAUCUCUUCUUUCUAGCUUGCUUCCUAAACACCACCACACCACACUCCACUACACGAAGUUCCAGGCAAUGUGGAAUCUGUGCUGUUUUAGUGAGAGAUUGAGACCUCUUUCUGUGCUCCCAGGAAAUUUUGCCAAAAUUGCAAAUACACAGUUCCAGGUGAAUCUUUUUACAAUAUUUGGUGGUUAGCAAAGAAUAAUGUUUCACUGGAUUUUUGAAUUUUACCAAUGAAGGGAGGUGAUGGGGUGCAGUGGAUUAGACACUUGCCUGUAAUUCAGGAACCUGGGUUCUAGUCUUCAGCCCUGAGGCACUUAUGUAAGUUUUGCCUGGGAGCUGAGUUGGGAACAUGAGGACCUUCCUCAGGAGAUGGGGCCUCAGGAAAUGACCCUGGCUUAUAAGGGAAGGUGUAACUGAGUCCUUUAUUGCCAGAUCCUUUCUAUAAAAACACAGUUUUUCUCUCUUCUCCUGUUACUAUCACAGACUUUUAGAAAUUUAAAAUACAAGGACAGACCUAGUAAUAAUUGCUGCCAUUCUUGAGGUCUUUACUUGUGUGCAGUCAUUACUCCCUUUCAUCUUACAAUCUAGGUUUUAACCGUGUGACCUUGGGCAAGUUAUAUAACCACUCUGGUUCUCAGUUUUAUCAAAUAUCAAAAAGGAGGGAUUUGACUAGAUAUAGUGGUUUUCAAAUUGGGCCCUGUGAAUCUCUAAGGAUCAGGGGAGAACCCUUAGGAAUUACUGAGUGCGUCAAAGAAACAGCUACAUAGGCAGGUCUCCUCAAGCUAGCAAUCCCUUCCCUUACUCUCAAUCACAGAAGCUUUGCUUUUUAUCUGUGUCAAAUAGUGGAGUUAUUUGAAAAAAAAGCUUCUCAUGCUAAAAAAGUUUAGCUUUACUUCUGUCAAGAUAGUAUAAAAAGAGACUAGAUUUAUCCUUCUACCUAAAACAAACACAUGAUAUAUAAAAUACAGUCGUGAACCACAUAAUGACAUUUCAGUCAAUGAUGGACCACAUAUAUGAUGGUGGUCUCAUAGAAUAUAAUAGAGCUGAAAAAUUCCGAUGACCUGGUGACAUCAUUCAUAACGUCAUAGUACAAUGUAUUACUCACAGGUUUGUGUUGAUGCUGAUGUAAACAAACUUACUGCACUACCAGUUGCAUAAAAGUCUAGCACAUAAAGUUAUGUAGAAUACAUAAUACUUGAUAAUAAACUAUGUUACUGGUUUAUUGUAUUAUACUCAUUAACUGUAAAACAGCUGAUCCUUUAGAAGGUGUUCCAGAAGAAGGCAUUGUUAUCAUAGGAGAUGACAGUUCCAUGCAUGUUAAUUGUCCUUGAAGACUUUCUAGUGGGACAAGAUGUGGAGUUUGAAGACUGUUAUAUUGAUAAUCCUGACCCUGUGUAGGCCUAGGCUAAUGUGUGUU
Macaca mulatta (Rhesus monkey) is the source of this 6163-nucleotide non-coding RNA. NCBI's taxonomy places the organism in Eukaryota, Metazoa, Chordata, Mammalia, Primates, Cercopithecidae. The record is from RefSeq and is a predicted model, not a curated record.